Long non-coding RNA from Oryzias melastigma (Indian medaka), 2404 nucleotides. RefSeq lists it as uncharacterized. The transcript has 2 exons. Lineage: Eukaryota; Metazoa; Chordata; Actinopteri; Beloniformes; Adrianichthyidae. The record is from RefSeq and is a predicted model, not a curated record.
GUUAGUGUUGCAUUGUUGGUCACUUAUUAGAUUGUCACUCACUAACUUCUUAGAGUUUCUGGGUUGUGUUAUAAAUACAAGAUGAAGCCUGACUUCUGUGCACUUUGACCUCCAAGGGGGCAAAGGGUCAAGGGUCUUGCUUGCUUUCUCUCUCAUUGACGUCAAAGAGGGCUAAAAUACCUCUGAAUUGCUGGCUGUCUCACCUUUUUUUUUUACCAGUUUUUUAUUAAGUUCUUCAGAAAAUCAAAUUACAUACAUACAUACAUAAAUAUAGACAGAAAUGCAGAUAUACAGAAAUGCACACAUACAAAGAUACAAACAUUAAAAUCAUCAUUGUUUGAUGGAAAUUAACACAAGAAUUAUAUCUUCUGAGAGUUAGAAUAUCUUCUUUAUGUUUGCAUUUAUGUGGGUAAACCUUACACCCACAUCUACUACCUUAAUUUCCCACUUUAGUUGAAUACCAAACUUAAUAUUUUCAACUAUGAAUGAAAAAGCAUGAAAAACUAGGAUUGAUAAGACAUGAAUCCCUGCUUCUAAUUAGAAUGGUAAAAUCUUAAAAAUCAUAUUAUUAGUUUUAAAAUGAAUUAGUAGUUAUUGGUUUGACAAUUUAAAAAAAGAGUGUUGCCUAUUUGUAAACUAAAUGUUGGUUAAUUAAUCUAACAUCCUUUCUUAAUGUUUUUCAGUUUGUUUAGUUCCAGUUUCGUUAGUUUGGGUUUGCUUGUGGCUUUGGUCCCAGUUGGUGUCCAUACCGAGCCUCCAGAGUCUGUUCUCGAAAUCAAGGCCACCUGGAAGUACCAAAUGUCGCAGUUCCUCAGGUAGGUGGAUCCAUGGGUGGACUCAUCAAAGCUAUCGCUUUACCCUGUCCUGCCCAAUCGCCCUUUUUCGGAACGUUGUUGAGUUGGGCGGAGGUGACAUGCCCGACCCACUUUGGGCUUCGUUUUCACCAUUCAGAAAUCUAUGAGUGAUGUCGGAUACUAUCAAUGUCGUGUUUUGUAUGUUUGUGGUUCAUGCAUCUCUGAGAGAGUGACUAUCUUUAUUUGAGGCACAAAAAAGCAGAUAAAUUGGACAUUUCUAAGUAGUUUAUAACAGGUUUUACAGUUUUUACAGUAUAUCUAACCCUGAAAAUGACUACUGAAUGUGGGACAGGGCCAAUCAUAUGAAUGUAAUAAUUUGCUCAGAACUCAUGCCUCAGUUGCUUAUUUUUUCUACAUACUGUCCUACCUUUAGUUAAGAAAGCUGAAAUAUAACUCAGGAUGAGAAUUUUGUCAAACAAGCAUAAACUUGCUGACAAUCUUGUGGUGGCACAGUGAAUAUAGAGUCCCCAUCUACUGUAAAUGUGACACUUGUAAAUGUUAGACGGUCAAGGUUUUGACGACAUUGUUGAAAUACAUUCAAGCUUUAAAUAUUGCAACUGAAAUUUAAAUGUAAACCUUUGACAUAAACCACACAUUUGAAUAAUACAUACUAUUAUCAAUGGUAUUUGUCAUUAGCCAUAUUAAAAUUAAGUAUUAUGACUCCCCAACAUCACUUUUAUGGCAUACACUUGGUGUACCUGAAGCACAAAAGCUUUUGUACACAGGAUCAGAAUAGCUUUCAUUAAAGUAUUAAAUUUGGCAACCCUCCAAAAUGAAUACCUGUUGAUUUAAAAAAAUAAAUAUAUAGCCGGAAAAUGAAACAGCAGCUCUCCAAAAUAACAGAAGGUGAAAAUGUAUGGUCUGUUAAAAAAAAAAAAAUCUGUAAAUCAAAAAUGUUCUAUGUUUUUCUAAAAACUUAGUUUUUGUUAAAGGUAUUCUUUAUGUUGAUCUUUACAUAUUGUAUAUACAUGGAAAGAGAGAAAAAGCAGUGGAAACUAGAGUUCUUCAAAAAUGUCUGUAAUGUUGUUUACUAGAAUAAUUGGCUGGCUUUUACAGAAACAGAACACCGGUCCUCUUAAACUCCUUCUACAAAAUAGGAAUGAGCAGUGCUGUGGGGGAGAUAUCAUGUUUUGCAGCUGCCUGCCUAAUUUAUUUGAUGACCAACCACAUUUUCAGACAGGGGCAGAGUAGACUGCAUGAUCCAAAAUAGGACCGUGUCAGCAAGUGUUGUUUCAUGUUUCAGGGGUAUAAAAUGAUGACAGAUGAUCCUCCACAGCAUUUAAAAGGGCUCCCACGUAGUUGGCUCAUUUCUUCAGUAAUGUGUUGCCCCUGUUCUAACCACGACUUUGCAUCUUCUUUUACUAGAAGUGCUGUAGCAACUCAAUGAAUUUGAGGUCUAUAGUGCCUGAAAAGAAACUAUCACAAAGGUAUUUCUCUUAGGUUUUUGAAGUCAACCUGGUCUAAUGGAAAAAAAACACAUGUGGACAACACCUGCCACAGAUACCUGAUUUAUUAUUGUCAUUUCACUAAUUAAAAGUUGUUGAGAAAAA